This 429-nucleotide ribosomal RNA is filed under the name Bacteroidota bacterium. Its description in RNAcentral is "Bacteroidetes bacterium partial 16S ribosomal RNA". It matches the Rfam family "Bacterial small subunit ribosomal RNA", at positions 355 to 776 of the family's 1533-position model. The record is from RNAcentral. Lineage: Bacteria; Pseudomonadati; Bacteroidota.
UAGGGAAUCUUCCGCAAUGGACGCAAGUCUGACGGAGCAACGCCGCGUGAGUGAAGAAGGUUUUCGGUUCGUAAAACUCUGUUGUUAGAGAAGAACAGCGCAUAGAGUAACUGUUAUGCGUGUGACGGUAUCUAACCAGAAAGCCACGGCUAACUACGUGCCAGCAGCCGCGGUAAUACGUAGGUGGCAAGCGUUAUCCGGAAUUAUUGGGCGUAAAGCGCGCGUAGGCGGUUUUUUAAGUCUGAUGUGAAAGCCCACGGCUCAACCGUGGAGGGUCAUUGGAAACUGGAAAACUUGAGUGCAGAAGAGGAAAGUGGAAUUCCAUGUGUAGCGGUGAAAUGCGCAGAGAUAUGGAGGAACACCAGUGGCGAAGGCGACUUUCUGGUCUGUAACUGACGCUGAUGUGCGAAAGCGUGGGGAUCAAACAGG